AGAAAUGAACUUAAUACAUACAUACAUACCAGUUCUCGUCCGAUCACUGAAGUCAAGCAAUAUUGAGCACGGUUAAUAUUUGAAUGGGUGACCGCUUGGGAACAUCGUGUGAUGUUGUCU
Molecule: ribosomal RNA, 120 nt
Filed under: Trachymyrmex cornetzi
Lineage: Eukaryota; Metazoa; Arthropoda; Insecta; Hymenoptera; Formicidae
Source: RNAcentral